CGAAGGGGCUAGCGUUGCUCGGAAUCACUGGGCGUAAAGGGUGCGUAGGCGGGUUUUAAGUCAGAGGUGAAAUCCUGGAGCUCAACUCCAGAACUGCCUUUGAUACUGGGAAUCUUGAGUAUGGAAGAGGUGAGUGGAACUGCGAGUGUAGAGGUGAAAUUCGUAGAUAUUCGCAAGAACACCAGUGGCGAAGGCGGCUCACUGGUCCAUAACUGACGCUGAGGCACGAAAGCGUGGGAGCAAACAGGAUU
Molecule: ribosomal RNA, 251 nt
Filed under: uncultured bacterium
Lineage: Bacteria
Description: partial 16S ribosomal RNA
Rfam family: Bacterial small subunit ribosomal RNA
Source: RNAcentral